This 339-nucleotide long non-coding RNA is filed under the name Micromonas pusilla. RNAcentral's name for it is "long non-coding RNA (MPUS_LNC000147)". Lineage: Eukaryota; Viridiplantae; Chlorophyta; Mamiellophyceae; Mamiellales; Mamiellaceae. The record is from RNAcentral.
CUAUAUCAAGAGCAGCGUGGCCGGCACGCUCAGCGGCGUCGGGGACUGGGACGUGAACUACUACGCGAAGCUCGCGUCGGCGCAGCAGACGACGUCGAACAACGGGGAGGGGCCGUGUUAUCCCAACUUUUUCGUGUACACGCCGAUCCUGAAUCGAUGCGUCCCGGUGCCCUCCGACGCGAUGUACACCGCGCUCGAGACAUCUUCACCGAGCGCGUUUGGUGGUUCCUCCGGAUUGUCGGUCUCCAUUCUGAAGGCGCUCAUCAACGCGCUCGACACCGGAAGCGGCGGCGUCAGCGACUACAUCGAAGACGUGUACAAGGCGUGGAUGGCGAUCGU